Molecule: RNA transcript, 2079 nt
Organism: Phragmites australis (common reed)
Lineage: Eukaryota; Viridiplantae; Streptophyta; Magnoliopsida; Poales; Poaceae
Gene name: mitochondrial import inner membrane translocase subunit PAM16 like 2-like
Exons: 4
Source: RefSeq, a predicted model, not a curated record
CCCCUCCCCUCCCUUGCUCAAUCUCCGAUUUUCGCGCUGCCUAUCCAUGCGACGGCGGUAGAAGACCACCCGAAUUUCAUUCUAGUCUCGUGCUAUCUCGCGUUCGCCUCGUUGGGUUGAGAGGAGCUGCGAUCCGUCGUUUAUUUGCUUCUGUUGUGUUAGGGCUGGUGCUUCCGAGAUUUAGGGAUGGUCGGGUUGCGAAUUGGUAUUUGCCCAUUCGAAUUGCUGGCUUUUUCCGCGUGAUGUGGGUGGGCGCUGUGAUCGCGCGUUCCUCGCGCGACGCACAGGGAAGACUAAUGGAGUAGGUUGUUGGGUGGAUGUCAGGAUACCCUGAUAUGCCUGUUAGGAACAGACUUAGAUUACUGCAGCAGCUGACUCUGGGCAGCACAGAAAUACAAGGAUUGACGCAUUGAGCAUCUGAACAGGCUAAAAAUUCACAUGACAAGGCUGGGAAGCUUAUUGCAAACCUGAUUGUCAUGGGCUCUACAAUUAUAGGAAGAGCUAUGCUUCAGGCAUACCGUAAAGCACUUGACAGUAAGUUCUGCUGCCACGAACUUCUUCAUGGCCCACAUAUAGAGUCUCUACACCUCCCUGUUCCUUUUGUACAUAGGGGAUAGAUGGCAUAUAAUUUUGUGUUUUGCUGCAUGAGUCAUGAUGAGUCAGGUUUCAUAAAAAUGAAUUGUAGGGAAAGAUAUUGUCAUAACUUACUGCAAUUCUUUUUAGUUUCUAUUCUUGUCUAAUCGUCUUGGUGCAAUCCAGAUAAUAUAAGUCUCUGUUUAUCUUAGCUUGCAGACAUUUUUAAUAAUGGUUGUUCAUCAAUAGGUCUCUGACUCUCAUAAAUUUUUCAUAUCUUAAUUUGUAAGAUGCCUAAUUUCUACUGAUAUGCCAAAGAUGCUUAUGCUUCAGCAUCUAUCCUCGAGUAACCUAAGUCUAUCAAAUACACUUUAACUGUCAACACUUAUGCUCGAAGUCAGGCUGUGCCUGGUGCCCCAGAUAUAUCGAUACGGUGGGGCUUGCCGUGACAUCGAACUUAUGGAUUGAUUUCACUUAUGGUCUACGGUAAGCAAUUUGAAGUAUAUCUAUUCAAAGAAAAAAGGAUUGAAAUGAGAGCUUUGUUUUCUCGACCGAAAGAAGCCCUUAAAAUGAAGUACACCAUAUCCUCUGAAUUCUGAUUUACGGAGAUAGAUGAGGUCAGCCAACAUAUCUGCUUUACAAUUUUAAUGUUCACAUACCCUUCUUAGAAGCAAAGGGAGUACUGCUUAAAAACAACCCUUUGAUUUCUCUAGGUUUCGAGUGUGAACAUAAAUAAUUGAGAACCUGAAUUUAGGAAACCGUGCAUUUCCUCGUUGUUCCUUAAGUUCAUUGGCUUAGAAAUAUGCAGACAAUUUGUUCAUUAAAUAAGGUGAUUUCUAAGAAAAGAGGUAUGGAAGAUAAAUUUAUCAGUAUUUAUUAUUAUUAUUAUCUGGCUUUUGGUGCUUCAUGUAGUGAUAAGGGGGUGUAUCAGGUGUAAAACUAUCCUUAGGCGCAAACAGGUGAAGUAUUUUAUGACUGCUGCCUCCUACACAUGAAUUGCCAGAUUUCAUCCAUCUACUACUCAUCCAAUGGACCACAGAAUUUACAAUGUUUUACUUUCAUGUACACCUUGUGCAUCUUCUAGAUGAAGACUUAACAUAAGGUAGCUGGUGGCUUUGUGCUCAUUUAUUGUCUAGAUUGACUCAUGGAGAUGAUAACACCAUAGGAAGUUGCCUUUCAGUAUCAUCUUAGCAUAAUACCAAUGAUUUCCUCCCACAGCGAGCCUUUAUUGAAUGGAUGUUAGUAUGUUACCUUCCAAACGAAUUGUUUGCUAUUCAUUUAAUUAUUCCAGAAAAGAGCAAACUUUAAUUCCUAUACGCACCUCCUUAUUUUGUUUCCUCCUACAUUCUGCCAGAUGCAAAUAAAAUUGGUGUGGCCCAUGAAGCAAUGAAUAAUAUUCGGAGAGCCAGCAAAACAAUGACCGAGCAAGAAGCGAGGCAGAUACUGGGUGUAUUUGAGCAGUCGACGUGGGAAGAGAUUGUACAGCGGUACGAUAACUUAUUCGAG